Molecule: non-coding RNA, 30 nt
Filed under: Mus musculus (house mouse)
Lineage: Eukaryota; Metazoa; Chordata; Mammalia; Rodentia; Muridae
Source: RNAcentral
UGGGUGAAUCAUAUCAGCUAGGUUGAGAGC